This 432-nucleotide unclassified non-coding RNA is filed under the name soil metagenome. RNAcentral's name for it is "partial contains 5.8S ribosomal RNA, internal transcribed spacer 2, and large subunit ribosomal RNA". The stretch from base 1 to 120 matches the Rfam family "5.8S ribosomal RNA", at positions 35 to 154 of the family's 154-position model. The record is from RNAcentral.
GAUGAAGAACGUAGCGAAAUGCGAUAAGUAAUGUGAAUUGCAGAAUUCAGUGAAUCAUCGAAUCUUUGAACGCAUAUUGCGCUCUCUGGUAUUCCGGAGAGCAUGCUUGUUUGAGUAUCAGUAAACACCUCAACUUCCAUAUCUUUUUUGAAAUGGGAGUUGGACUUGAGUGAUCCCAACGCUUUUCCUCACCGAAAAGUGGCGGGUUACUUGAAAUGCAGGUGCAGCUGGACUUUUCUCUGAGCUAUAAGCAUAUCUAUUUAGUCUGCCUAAAAAACAGAUUAUUACCUUUGCUGCAGCUAACAUAAAGGAGAUUAGUUCUUGUGCUGACUGAUGCAGGAUUCACAAAGACAGCUUCGGCCGACUUUGUAAACUCGAUCUCAAAUCAAGUAAGACUACCCGCUGAACUUAAGCAUAUCAAUAAGCGGAGGA